GUUCUUACCUGGCAAGGUAGACACCAUGAUUAGGCAGGUGGCUCUCCCAGGGCGAGGAUCAUCCCUUGCACUCCGGGUGUGCUGACCCCUGUUAUUUCUCUAAAUGUGGGAAACUUGACUGUGUAAUUUGUGGUAGUGAGGGACUGCAUUCGCACUCUUUAC
Meleagris gallopavo (turkey) is the source of this 162-nucleotide small nuclear RNA. Its record names the gene U1. It matches the Rfam family "U1 spliceosomal RNA". Rfam says of the family: U1 is a small nuclear RNA (snRNA) component of the spliceosome (involved in pre-mRNA splicing). Its 5' end forms complementary base pairs with the 5' splice junction, thus defining the 5' donor site of an intron. There are significant differences in sequence and secondary structure between metazoan and yeast U1 snRNAs, the latter being much longer (568 nucleotides as compared to 164 nucleotides in human). Lineage: Eukaryota; Metazoa; Chordata; Aves; Galliformes; Phasianidae. The record is from Ensembl.